UACGGGGGGGGCAAGCGUUGUUCGGAAUUACUGGGCGUAAAGGGCGCGUAGGCGGUUCGGUAAGUCCUGUGUGAAAUCCCUCGGCUCAACUGAGGAACUGCACGGGAGACUGCCGGGCUUGAGUUCGGGAGAGGGAAGCGGAAUUCCGGGUGUAGCGGUGAAAUGCGUAGAUAUCCGGAGGAACACCGGUGGCGAAGGCGGCUUCCUGGACCGACACUGACGCUGAGGCGCGAAAGCUAGGGGAGCAAACGGG
This 253-nucleotide ribosomal RNA is filed under the name uncultured bacterium. Its description in RNAcentral is "partial 16S ribosomal RNA". It matches the Rfam family "Bacterial small subunit ribosomal RNA", at positions 524 to 776 of the family's 1533-position model. The record is from RNAcentral.